This 468-nucleotide ribosomal RNA is filed under the name uncultured bacterium. Its description in RNAcentral is "partial 16S ribosomal RNA". It matches the Rfam family "Bacterial small subunit ribosomal RNA", at positions 28 to 507 of the family's 1533-position model. The record is from RNAcentral.
GACGAACGCUGGCGGCGUGCUUAACACAUGCAAGUCGAACGGAAAGGCCCUGCUUUUGUGGGGUGCUCGAUUGGCGAACGGGUGAGUAACACGUGAGUAACCUGCCCUUGACUUUGGGAUAACUUCAGGAAACUGGGGCUAAUACCGGAUAGGAUCUCCUGCUGCAUGGUGUUGGUUGGAAAGUUUCGGCGGUUGGGGAUGGACUCGCGGCUUAUCAGCUUGUUGGUGGGGUAGUGGCUUACCAAGGCUUUGACGGGUAGCCGGCAUGAGAGGGUGACCGGGCACAUUGGGACUGAGAGACGGACCAGACUCCUACGGGAGGCAGCAGUGGGGAAUAUUGCACAAUGGGCGGAAGCCUGAUGCAGCAACGCCGCGUGCGGGAUGACGGCCUUCGGGUUGUAAACCGCUUUCGCAUGUGACGAAGAGUGAGUGACGGUAAUGGGUAAAGAAGCACCGGCUAACUACGUG